This 253-nucleotide ribosomal RNA is filed under the name uncultured bacterium. RNAcentral describes it as "partial 16S ribosomal RNA". It matches the Rfam family "Bacterial small subunit ribosomal RNA", at positions 524 to 776 of the family's 1533-position model. The record is from RNAcentral.
UACGUAGGGUGCAAGCGUUGUCCGGAAUUAUUGGGCGUAAAGAGCUCGUAGGCGGCCUGUCGCGUCGGCUGUGAAAACCCGAGGCUCAACCUCGGGCCUGCAGUCGAUACGGGCAGGCUAGAGUUCGGUAGGGGAGACUGGAAUUCCUGGUGUAGCGGUGAAAUGCGUAGAUAUCUGGAGGAAUACCGGUGGCGAAGGCGGCAUCCUGGACCGACAUUGACGCUGAGGAGCGAAAGCUAGGGGAGCAAACGGG